AAAUUUAUUUUUAAACAUGAUUUAUGAUUAUAAGCCCAAAAUAAAGAGAAGAAAAAAAAAAGGAAACUAUUUUGAGUGAUAAAUCCAUAUUUGGUUUGUAACAUCCCACCCAGCGUAGUCUUUGUUGGUGAUAUGUAUGGGCGAAUUGUUUGCUAAGUAUAAGCUAGGGAAAGUUGAUUUACGCCUUAUCCGCCGGUGUUAUGUUAAGUGUUGGUUGUCGUGCCAUGAUUGGUGAACUGUUUGGCUAAUUAGGUAGGUCUAUAAUGACUUGGUUGAAGGAUCAUCUUUUGGCGAAGUAUAGGUUACAUGUCUAUAUGUCUUGGC
RNAcentral lists this long non-coding RNA (324 nucleotides) under Gossypium raimondii (Peruvian cotton). RNAcentral's name for it is "long non-coding RNA (GRAI_LNC002766)". Lineage: Eukaryota; Viridiplantae; Streptophyta; Magnoliopsida; Malvales; Malvaceae. The record is from RNAcentral.